GACGGAAGGUGCAAGCGUUGCUCGGAAUCACUGGGCGUAAAGGGUGCGUAGGCGGCCGCGCAAGUCUGGCGUGAAAGCCCCGGGCUCAGCCCGGGAAGGGCGCUCGAAACGGCGCGGCUCGAGUGCCGGAAGGGAGAGUGGAAUUCCAGGUGUAGCGGUGAAAUGCGUAGAUAUCUGGAGGAAUACCGGUGGCGAAGGCGGCAUCCUGGACCGACAUUGACGCUGAUGAGCGAAAGCUAGGGGAGCAAACGGG
This 253-nucleotide ribosomal RNA is filed under the name uncultured bacterium. Its description in RNAcentral is "partial 16S ribosomal RNA". It matches the Rfam family "Bacterial small subunit ribosomal RNA", at positions 524 to 776 of the family's 1533-position model. The record is from RNAcentral.